Molecule: ribosomal RNA, 615 nt
Filed under: uncultured cyanobacterium
Lineage: Bacteria; Bacillati; Cyanobacteriota
Description: bacterial SSU rRNA
Rfam family: Bacterial small subunit ribosomal RNA
Source: RNAcentral
GAAUCUGCCUAAAGGUCGGGGACAACCCACUGGAAACGGUGGCUAAUACCGGAUAAGCCGCGGGUAAAAGAUAAAUUGCCAAGAGAGGAGCUCGCGUCUGAUUAGUUAGUUGGUGAGGUAAAGGCUCACCAAGGCGGCGAUCAGUAGCUGGUCUGAGAGGAUGAUCAGCCACACUGGGACUGAGACACGGCCCAGACUCCUACGGGAGGCAGCAGUGAGGAAUUUUCCGCAAUGGGCGAAAGCCUGACGGAGCAAUACCGCGUGAGGGAGGAAGGUUUAUGGGUUGUAAACCUCUUUUAUCAAGAAAGAACUCUGACGGUACUUAAGGAAUAAGCAUCGGCUAACUCCGUGCCAGCAGCCGCGGUAAUACGGAGGAGGCAAGCGUUAUCCGGAAUUAUUGGGCGUAAAGCGUCCAUAGGUGGUUGUGUAAGUCUGCUGUCAAAGCACAUGGCUUAACCAGAUAAAGGCAGUGGAAACUACAAAACUGGAGUGCAGUAGGGGCAGAGGGAAUUCCCAGAGUAGCGGUGAAAUGCGUAGAGAUUGGGAAGAACACCGGUGGCGAAAGCGCUCUGCUGGACCUGCAACUGACACUCAGGGACGAAAGCUAGGGGAGCG